UCGACGGCAGCGGGGACUUCGGUCCGCCGGCGAGUGGCGAACGGGUGAGUAAAGUAUCGGAACGUACCUUUCAGUGGGGGAUAUCGUAGCGAAAGUUACGCUAAUACCGCAUAUUCUGUGAGCAGGAAAGCAGGGGAUCGCAAGACCUUGCGCUGAUUGAGCGGCCGAUAUCAGAUUAGCUAGUUGGUGGGGUAAAGGCCUACCAAGGCGACGAUCUGUAGCGGGUCUGAGAGGAUGAUCCGCCACACUGGAACUGAGACACGGUCCAGACUCCUACGGGAGGCAGCAGUGGGGAAUUUUGGACAAUGGGGGCAACCCUGAUCCAGCCAUGCCGCGUGAGUGAAGAAGGCCUUUGGGUUGUAAAGCUCUUUCGGCCGGGAAGAAAUCGCACAGGCUAAUACCCUGUGUGGAUGACGGUACCGGAAUAAGAAGCACCGGCUAACUACGUGCCAGCAGCCGCGGUAAUACGUAGGGUGCGAGCGUUAAUCGGAAUUACUGGGCGUAAAGCGUGCGCAGGCGGUUUCGUAAGACAGAGGUGAAAUCCCCGGGCUCAACCUGGGAACUGCCUUUGUGACUGCGAGGCUAGAGUACGGCAGAGGGGGGUGGAAUUCCACGUGUAGCAGUGAAAUGCGUAGAGAUGUGGAGGAACACCGAUGGCGAAGGCAGCCCCCUGGGCCGAUACUGACGCUCAUGCACGAAAGCGUGGGUAGCAAACAGGAUUAGAUACCCUGGUAGUCCACGCCCUAAACGAUGUCAACUAGGUGUUGGGUGGGUAAAACCAUUUAGUACCGUAGCUAACGCGUGAAGUUGACC
Molecule: ribosomal RNA, 813 nt
Filed under: uncultured bacterium
Lineage: Bacteria
Description: bacterial SSU rRNA
Rfam family: Bacterial small subunit ribosomal RNA
Source: RNAcentral